RNAcentral lists this ribosomal RNA (285 nucleotides) under uncultured Nocardioides sp. RNAcentral describes it as "partial 18S ribosomal RNA". It matches the Rfam family "Bacterial small subunit ribosomal RNA", at positions 223 to 520 of the family's 1533-position model. Lineage: Bacteria; Bacillati; Actinomycetota; Actinomycetes; Propionibacteriales; Nocardioidaceae. The record is from RNAcentral.
GGAUGUGCUCGCGGCCUAUCAGCUUGUUGGUGGGGUAAUGGCCUACCAAGGCUUCGACGGGUAGCCGGCCUGAGAGGGUGACCGGCCACACUGGGACUGAGACUCGGCCCAGACUCCUACGGGAGGCCGCAGUGGGGAAUAUUGGACAAUGGGCGGAAGCCUGAUCCAGCAACGCCGCGUGAGGGAUGACGGCCUUCGGGUUGUAAACCUCUUUCACCUCCGACGAAGCGAAAGUGACGGUAGGGGGAGAAGGAGCACCGGCCAACUACGUGCCCGCAGCCGCGG